UGAUUAGGCAUCCAGCAGAUCAAAUCAUUGUCUGUGUGAACAGCCCUUAAGUGUUGAAGCUCAACUGUGAGAAAACUCUGACGAGAGCCAAUGCAUCUUAGUUUAGUGUAGCAGCCAAUACAAAAAACCUUGUGUAAUUUCCCCAGGUAAUAAACAAACUCGUUUCAGAAAAUAAAAGGUUGGAAAACA
Long non-coding RNA from Carassius carassius (crucian carp), 189 nucleotides. RefSeq lists it as uncharacterized. The transcript is spliced from 2 exons. Lineage: Eukaryota; Metazoa; Chordata; Actinopteri; Cypriniformes; Cyprinidae. The record is from RefSeq and is a predicted model, not a curated record.